CCUACGGGAGGCAGCAGUGAGGAAUAUUGGUCAAUGGACGCAAGUCUGAACCAGCCAAGUAGCGUGCAGGAUGACGGCCCUCCGGGUUGUAAACUGCUUUUAGUUGGGAAUAAAAUGGGGCUCGUGAGCCCCGUAUUGUAUGUACCAUCAGAAAAAGUACCGGCUAAUUCCGUGCCAGCAGCCGCGGUAAUACGGAAGAUCCGCGCGUUCUCCGGAUUUAUUGGGUUUAAAGGGAGCGUAGGGCGGCUUUUAAGUGAGCUGUGAAAGUCCGCGGCUCAACCGUGGAAUUGCAGUUGAAACUGGAGGCCUUGAGUGCACGUAGGGAUGCCGGAAUUCAUGGUGUAGGGGUGAAAUGCUUAGAUA
RNAcentral lists this ribosomal RNA (363 nucleotides) under uncultured bacterium. RNAcentral's name for it is "partial 16S ribosomal RNA". It matches the Rfam family "Bacterial small subunit ribosomal RNA", at positions 338 to 696 of the family's 1533-position model. The record is from RNAcentral.